This is a non-coding RNA of Ophidiomyces ophidiicola, 72 nucleotides long. Lineage: Eukaryota; Fungi; Ascomycota; Eurotiomycetes; Onygenales; Onygenaceae. The record is from the annotation of a RefSeq genome assembly.
GCUCCUAUAGUGUAGCGGUUAGCACGUGGGAUUUUGAUUCCCGAGACGACAGUUCGAAUCUGUCUUGGAGCU